Zonotrichia leucophrys gambelii is the source of this 485-nucleotide long non-coding RNA. RefSeq lists it as uncharacterized. The record is from RefSeq and is a predicted model, not a curated record. NCBI's taxonomy places the organism in Eukaryota, Metazoa, Chordata, Aves, Passeriformes, Passerellidae. The transcript has 3 exons.
CUCUGGGGCCACUGGUUAGUGCUCAGAUUUACAUUUCAGUGCCUUUUCACUUAACUGAAGGGAUGCUGCUGUAACUGGAAAGCCACACUGGCAGAAGAGCUGCUUGUGAGAUCACAGAACGAGAAGCUCCUCUGAGCUCCGGGAAAUCAUGUUCUACUUUCUGCUGGAUUGGAUUCCAGUCUGCAAACCAGACCUGGCACUGUGGGCCUGAGCCUGCCCUGCACUCACAGCCUGGCAGGGGAUGGGAACCAGGUGGACACUGCAGCAAGAUCUGCUCUCAGCUGUGUGGUUUGGGGAGGCAGGACCUGUGCCUGGGAUGCUGAGUACUUCAUCCAGGGUAAUCCAUCCCCAACCUUCCAGCAGCACUCCAUUCACAUCAGAAACUGAAUCCUGCUUCUGAUUGAUCCAUCUCAGGAAUUCUUCCAGACUCGCUUUAAAUUCCGAGAAAUCAGUAUUUGACUUCUUUGAGCAGCUCUUGUUGAAUG